UGCCAUCCUCUCUUAUUGUUGCUGUUAGUUGGUUUACUUUCUGGCUCCGCAUCCAUGCCGCAUCAGAACGAGUCACACUCAGUAUCACCUGCUUGUUGACACUCUGCUAUCAGGUUCAGCAGUACAAGUCUCAGCUCCCCCCUGUGAACUAUAUCACGGCUAUGGAUAUCUGGCUGUUUACUUGUAUUUUCAUGGUUUUCUCAACACUGGUUGAAUUUGCAGUGAGCUACAACGUGUUUCACUCUAUGACAAAGGAGCUACCAUACACAGUUCAUGAGGAGAAGGAAGGUGUUUCAUUGAAAUCAACAACCGAAACCAAACUGGAGAUCGAUGGAAAUCGGGGUAAGAUAAUUUUUUCAGAACUUCCACCUGUUUCAAAAAUUUGCCUUGGGACAAAAUUACUAUCGAAAUGGAGCAAGAAAAGCAACAGAAUGGAUGUUCUUUGCAGAUUCCUGUUUCCAGCAUCAUUUAUGAUAUUCAUAAUAGCAUAUUUAAGUCACUUUUUAGACGUCAAA
Uloborus diversus is the source of this 515-nucleotide long non-coding RNA. RefSeq lists it as uncharacterized. The transcript is spliced from 3 exons. The record is from RefSeq and is a predicted model, not a curated record. Lineage: Eukaryota; Metazoa; Arthropoda; Arachnida; Araneae; Uloboridae.